UCUGCAACUCGACUACAUGAAGCUGGAAUCGCUAGUAAUCGCGGAUCAGAACGCCGCGGUGAAUACGUUCCCGGGUCUUGUACACACCGCCCGUCACACCAUGGGAGUCGGAAAUGCCCGAAGCCGGUGACCCAACCAAAAGGAGGGAGCCGUCGAAGGCAGGUCUGAUAACUGGGGUGAAGUCGUAACAAGGUAGC
RNAcentral lists this ribosomal RNA (197 nucleotides) under uncultured bacterium. RNAcentral describes it as "partial 16S ribosomal RNA". It matches the Rfam family "Bacterial small subunit ribosomal RNA", at positions 1304 to 1500 of the family's 1533-position model. The record is from RNAcentral.